GUGGAGGCUAUAUACAGGGGGUACCGGUACAGAGUCAAUGUGGAGGCUAUAUACAGGGUGUUAUGGUACAGAGUCAAUGUGGAGACUAUAUACAGGGUGUUACGGUACAGAGUCAAUGUGGAGGCUAUAUACAGGGUAUUACGGUACAGAGUCAAUGUGGAGGCUAUAUACAGGGUAUUACGGAACAGAGUCAAUGUGGAGGCUAUAUACAGGGUAUUACGGAACAGAGUCAAUGUGGAGGCUAUAUACAGGGUAUUACGGUACAGAGUCAAUGUGGAGGCUAUAUACAGGGGGUACCGGUACAGAGUCAAUGUGGAGACUAUAUACAGGGUGUUACGGUACAGAGUCAAUGUGGAGGCUAUAUACAGGGUGUUACUGUACAGAGUCAAUGUGGAGGCUAUAUACAGGGUGUUACGGUACAGAGUCAAUGUGGAGGCUAUAUACAGGGUGUUACGGUACAGAGUCAAUGUGGAGGCUAUAUACAGGGUGUUACGGUACAGAGUCAAUGUGGAGAAUAUAUACAGGGGGUACCGGUACAGAGUCAAUGAGGAGGCUAUAUACAGGGUGUUACGGUACAGAGUCAAUGUGGAGGCUAUAUACAGGGUGUUAAGGUACAGAGUCAAUGUGGAGGCUAUAUACAGGAAAAGGUUGUUGUCCUUGCACCACACAGUCAG
Oncorhynchus tshawytscha (Chinook salmon) is the source of this 674-nucleotide long non-coding RNA. The record is from Ensembl. NCBI's taxonomy places the organism in Eukaryota, Metazoa, Chordata, Actinopteri, Salmoniformes, Salmonidae.